CGCCUUUUGACAUAUAUUAAUAAAAGGUCCUGCCUGCCCAGUGACUCUGUUUAACGGCCGCGGUAUUAUGACCGUGCAAAGGUAGCGUAAUCACUUGUCUUUUAAAUAAAGACUAGUAUGAACGGCAACACGAGAGUUCAACUGUCUCACUAAAUUAGUCAGUGAAAUUCAUCUUUCCGUGCAGAAGCGGAAAUAAACGUAUAAGACGAGAAGACCCUGUGGAGCUUUAAAUCAAAACUAACACUUAAUAGCAUUAUAGCAUUAGAUUUUAGGUUGGGGCGACCGUGAGGAAAAAUAAACCCUCAAAUAUAAACUAGAGAAACAUCUCUAACAAGCAGUAUACUAAAACAUUGACCCAAUAAUUGAUCAACGAACCAAGUUACCCCAGGGAUAACAGCGCAAUCCACUCACAGAGCCCAUAUCGACGAGCGGGUUUACGACCUCGAUGUUGGAUCAGGACCACCAAGUGGUGCAACAACUACUAAAGGUUCGUUUGUUCAACGAUUAAAGUCCU
Molecule: ribosomal RNA, 514 nt
Filed under: Oedipina carablanca
Lineage: Eukaryota; Metazoa; Chordata; Amphibia; Caudata; Plethodontidae
Description: partial 16S ribosomal RNA
Rfam family: Bacterial large subunit ribosomal RNA
Source: RNAcentral